CGGAGGGUGCAAGCGUUAUCCGGAUUCACUGGGUUUAAAGGGUGCGUAGGUGGGUCUGUAAGUCAGUGGUGAAAUCCCCCGAGCUUAACUUGGGAACUGCCGUUGAUACUAUAGAUCUUGAAUAUCGUGGAGGUAAGCGGAAUAUGUCACGUAGCGGUGAAAUGCUUAGAUAUGACAUAGAACACCAAUUGCGAAGGCAGCUUACUACACGAUCAUUGACACUGAGGCACGAAAGCGUGGGGAGCAAACAGGAUUAGAUACCCUGGUAGUCCACGCCCUAAACUAUGGAUACUCGACAUCAGCGAUACACAGUUGGUGUCUGAGCGAAAGCAUUAAGUAUCCCACCUGGGAAGUACGAUCGCAAGAUUG
RNAcentral lists this ribosomal RNA (369 nucleotides) under uncultured organism. RNAcentral's name for it is "bacterial SSU rRNA". It matches the Rfam family "Bacterial small subunit ribosomal RNA", at positions 526 to 896 of the family's 1533-position model. The record is from RNAcentral.